RNAcentral lists this small RNA (120 nucleotides) under Salmonella enterica. RNAcentral describes it as "partial RtT sRNA". It matches the Rfam family "RtT RNA". Rfam says of the family: This family represents a bacterial cis-regulatory element known as RtT RNA. The exact function of RtT is unknown although it is thought that it may be involved in changing the cellular response in relation to amino acid starvation. Lineage: Bacteria; Pseudomonadati; Pseudomonadota; Gammaproteobacteria; Enterobacterales; Enterobacteriaceae. The record is from RNAcentral.
ACGGGGAAGGAUGAGAAGCUUCGACUAAGGUUCGAUUCGAGCGCAGCGAGAAAGCGUUGCCGUAGGCAACGACCCGAAGGGCGAAGCGCGCAGCGCUGAGUCAUCCUUCCCCCACCACCA